CCUACGGGUGGCAGCAGUGGGGAAUAUUGCACAAUGGGGGAAACCCUGAUGCAGCAACGCCGCGUGAGCGAUGAAGGCUUUCGGUAUGUAAAGCUCUGUCCGCAGGGAAGAAAAUGACGGUACCUGAGGAAGAAGCCCCGGCUAACUACGUGCCAGCAGCCGCGGUAAUACGUAGGGGGCUAGCGUUAUCCGGAUUUACUGGGCGUAAAGGGAGCGUAGACGGUCUUGUAAGCCAGAUGUGAAAGCCCGAGGCUCAACCCGUGGAAUGCAUUUGAAACUGGAAGGCUAGAGUGUCGGAGAGGCAGGUGGAAUUCCUAGUGUAGCGGUGAAAUGCGUAGAUAUUAGGAGGAACACCAGUGGCGAAGGCGGCCUGCUGGACGGUGACUGACGUUGAGGCUCGAAAGCGUGGGGAGCAAACAGGAGUAGAUACCCGAGUAGUC
Molecule: ribosomal RNA, 440 nt
Filed under: uncultured bacterium
Lineage: Bacteria
Description: partial 16S ribosomal RNA
Rfam family: Bacterial small subunit ribosomal RNA
Source: RNAcentral